Long non-coding RNA from Vidua macroura (Pin-tailed whydah), 358 nucleotides. RefSeq lists it as uncharacterized. The transcript has 3 exons. The record is from RefSeq and is a predicted model, not a curated record. NCBI's taxonomy places the organism in Eukaryota, Metazoa, Chordata, Aves, Passeriformes, Viduidae.
GGAGUGAGCCAUCAGCUGAGCCACACAUCCAGAAAUCUCCAACUGAUGGGAGUAUUCUCAGCAUCACAUCUCUAAUGAGCAUCGUGUUAGUGGUGUCCCCAGCUACAGACUUUCUCCUGCUAAAGGCAACAGUGAAGCCUGAGAAACUGUUAGUGGAGCAUCACCACAUGUGCCUAACUCUUAGUGGAGCAUUAUCACACGUGCCACUGCCCAGCAGCAGUGGAAGUGGCAGGAGUCCCACUGCCCGCCCUGCCCUAGAGCUCGUGGGUACAGGUUUGGCUGCAGCCCAAUCCAAGUCUGCCCAAGGAUGCCAGUUUCUGUCUCUGAGAGGGUCCUGAGCUGCCCUCUCUGUUGGCUU